Molecule: non-coding RNA, 148 nt
Organism: Caenorhabditis elegans
Lineage: Eukaryota; Metazoa; Nematoda; Chromadorea; Rhabditida; Rhabditidae
Source: Ensembl
UAAGCCUACGCCUAGGCCUAAGUCAAAGCCUAUGCCUUAACAAAUGCCUAAGCCUGCGUCUAAGUCUAAGCGUAAGACUAAGACUAGGCCUAAGACUUGGCCUAUGUGUUGGUCUAAACCAAAGCCAAAGCCUAAGCCUAAGCCUAAA